This 497-nucleotide ribosomal RNA is filed under the name uncultured bacterium. RNAcentral describes it as "partial 16S ribosomal RNA". It matches the Rfam family "Bacterial small subunit ribosomal RNA", at positions 28 to 507 of the family's 1533-position model. The record is from RNAcentral.
GAUGAACGCUGGCGGCGUGCCUAAUACAUGCAAGUCGAGCGAACAGACGAGGAUCUUGCUCCUCUGACGUUAGCGACGGACGGGUGACUAACACGUGGAUAACCUCCCUAUCAGACAGGGAUAACUUCUGGAAACCGGAGCUAAUACCGGAUAAUAUAUUGAACCGCAUGGUUCAAUAGUGAAAGACUGUUUUGCUGUCACUUCUAGAUCUAUCCGCGCCGCAUUACCUAGUUGGUAAGGUAACGGCUUGCCAAGGCAACGAGGCAUAGCCGACCAGGGAGAGUGUUAGGCCACACUGGAACUGAGAGAAGGGCCAGGCUCGUACGGGGGGAAGCAGGAGGGAAUCUCCGGAAACGGGAGAAAGCUUGACGGAGCAACGCCGCGUGAGUGAUGAAGGUAUUCGGAUCUUAAAACUCUGUGAUUAGGGAAGAAGAAAUGCGUAAGCAACUAAGCACGCAUUGACGGUACCUAAUCAGAAAGCCACGGCUAACUACGUG